This 158-nucleotide ribosomal RNA is filed under the name Diploastrea heliopora. RNAcentral describes it as "5.8S ribosomal RNA". It matches the Rfam family "5.8S ribosomal RNA". From Rfam's summary of the family: 5.8S ribosomal RNA (5.8S rRNA) is a component of the large subunit of the eukaryotic ribosome. It is transcribed by RNA polymerase I as part of the 45S precursor that also contains 18S and 28S rRNA. Lineage: Eukaryota; Metazoa; Cnidaria; Anthozoa; Scleractinia; Diploastraeidae. The record is from RNAcentral.
CAACUUUUGACGGUGGAUCUCUUGGCUCACGCAUCGAUGAAGAACGCAGCCAGCUGCGAUAAGUAGUGUGAAUUGCAGAAUUCAGUGAAUCAUCGAAUCUUUGAACGCAAAUGGCGCUCUUGGGUUCUCCCAGGAGCAUGUCUGUYUGAGUGUCGGAU